Molecule: long non-coding RNA, 237 nt
Filed under: Mytilus galloprovincialis (Mediterranean mussel)
Lineage: Eukaryota; Metazoa; Mollusca; Bivalvia; Mytilida; Mytilidae
Source: RNAcentral
AUAAAAUUUAAAACUAUUACAAAACUAUAUGUAUAUCAAAUAUAAAUUCAGCAUUCAAACUUAAUAUAAACAUUUGGAAAGUUCUUACAAUUCUACACUCAUUAAACCUCAAUGUUGCUGUGAAAACAUCAGCACACAGACAAUACAGACAUCCAUUUAGGGACGACAUCAAAAGUUCAAUGUAGGAUAAAAAACUUAAUUCACAUAGUUUUUUCACUGACCCCCCUACCCCCCUCU